Molecule: long non-coding RNA, 239 nt
Organism: Tarenaya hassleriana
Lineage: Eukaryota; Viridiplantae; Streptophyta; Magnoliopsida; Brassicales; Cleomaceae
Exons: 3
Source: RefSeq, a predicted model, not a curated record
CUGUUUCUUCCUGAGAAUGUUGCAAAUCUGCAUAUGUAUAUAUAUACAUGCAAAGAAAUCAUGGUUAUGCCCCCGUGAGUUGAUGGAUCUCUAGUUCUGCCAGGUUUAUCUGCUGACGAGCUUCCAGCCCACGCUCCGGACUAUUGUUGCAAAACAAAUCAGGCAAAUAUAUCAAGAUUGAGAAAGCACAACUGGACCUGCUUUCGCCGGGGGACGCAGAGACGCGUUUGAAUGGCUUC